Molecule: long non-coding RNA, 521 nt
Organism: Platichthys flesus (European flounder)
Lineage: Eukaryota; Metazoa; Chordata; Actinopteri; Pleuronectiformes; Pleuronectidae
Exons: 2
Source: RefSeq, a predicted model, not a curated record
CAUGACCCCGGUUCCGACAUGUCGAUGUUGUUGUUGCACUGACACGGUCGACACUGCCCCCCCACCUCAUCAGGGUUUCCAUAGUAACCAGAAACUUCAAACCGGUUCUGGAGAUAUAAUGUUACCUCUGUAUCCGGUGCUGCAGACACAGAUCGCCUGCUGGGAGUCGUCACUUCGGUAACAGCUUCCUGCAAACUGCCGCCGGCUGCUGGGGCCAUCGGGACACAUGCAGGGCCGACAGUGGUCACCUGACCCCAGCAUGGGGUCACCAUAGAAGCCGUCUAGACACCUUUAGACAUGAGAGGAAGUGAAGAGGACAACAAAGAAGUCAACAUUCUCUGUUUUUAUUCAGUGUGUGAGGGAAUAUUCCACCGACAGGUGUCUCACUGCUGCGACCUGGACAAACAGGGAGUUUGCUUCACAGCAGAUAGACACAGGAGGAUUUCAUGUCUUUUUUUUCAUAUUAUGUUUUACAUUGUGUAAACUCAGCAGAGCUUACUAUUAAAAAGACUCAAAGUCUA